Molecule: ribosomal RNA, 1306 nt
Filed under: uncultured bacterium
Lineage: Bacteria
Description: bacterial SSU rRNA
Rfam family: Bacterial small subunit ribosomal RNA
Source: RNAcentral
AACGUACGCUGGCGGCACGCCUAACACAUGCAAGUCGAACGAAGUAGCAAUACUUAGUGGCAGACGGGUGAGUAACAUGUAGGUAUCUGCCCUUUGGCCUGGAAUAACACGAGGAAACUUGUGCUAAUACCGGAUAAGUCUUUACGGAGAAAGCUUUAUGCACCAUUGGAUGAGCCUGCACUUGAUUAGUUUGUUGGUGGGGUAAUGGCCUACCAAGACUGUGAUCAAUAGCUGAUUUGAGAGGAUGAUCGGCCACAUUGGGACUGAGACACGGCCCAAACUCCUACGGGAGGCAGCAGUGGGGAAUCUUGCACAAUGGAGGAAACUCUGAUGCAGCGAUGCCGCGUGAGUGAAGAAGGCCUUUGGGUUGUAAAGCUCUUUCGUCGGGGAAGAAAAUGACUGUACCCGAAUAAGAAGGUCCGGCUAACUUCGUGCCAGCAGCCGCGGUAAUACGAAGGGACCUAGCGUAGUUCGGAAUUACUGGGCUUAAAGAGUUCGUAGGUGGUUGAAAAAGUUAGUGGUGAAAUCCCAGAGCUUAACUCUGGAACUGCCAUUAAAACUUUUCAGCUAGAGUAUGAUAGAGGAAAGCAGAAUUUCUAGUGUAGAGGUGAAAUUCGUAGAUAUUAGAAAGAAUACCAAUUGCGAAGGCAGCUUUCUGGAUCAUUACUGACACUGAGGAACGAAAGCAUGGGUAGCGAAGAGGAUUAGAUACCCUCGUAGUCCAUGCCGUAAACGAUGUGUGUUAGACGUUGGAAAUUUAUUUUCAGUGUCGCAGGGAAACCGAUAAACACACCGCCUGGGGAGUACGACCGCAAGGUUAAAACUCAAAUGAAUUGACGGGGACCCGCACAAGUAGUGGAGCAUGUGGUUUAAUUCGAAGAUACGCGCAGAACCUUACCAACACUUGACAUGUUCGUCGCGACUCUAAGAGAUUAGAGUUUUCGGUUCGGCCGGACGAAACGCAGGUGCUGCAUGGCUGUCGUCAGCUCGUGUCGUGAGAUGUUGGGUUAAGUCCCGCAACGAGCGCAACCCUCACUUUUAGUUGCCAUCAUUAAGUUGGGCACUCUGAAAGAACUGCCAGUGAUAAGCUGGAGGAAGGUGGGGAUGACGUCAAGUCCUCAUGGCCCUUACGUGUUGGGCUACACACGUGCUACACUGGUAUCUACAACAGGAAGCAAGACUGCGAAGUUAAGCAAAUCCCUAAAAGAUACCUCAGUUCGGAUUGCACUCUGCAACUCGAGUGCAUGAAGCUGGAAUUACUAGUAAUCGUGGAUCAGCGUGCCACGGUGAAUGCGUUCCCGGGUCU